Molecule: ribosomal RNA, 884 nt
Filed under: Salmonella enterica
Lineage: Bacteria; Pseudomonadati; Pseudomonadota; Gammaproteobacteria; Enterobacterales; Enterobacteriaceae
Also listed under: 1 other name
Description: partial 23S ribosomal RNA
Rfam family: Bacterial large subunit ribosomal RNA
Source: RNAcentral
AGGGAAACCGAGUCUUAACUGGGCGUUAAGUUGCAGGGUAUAGACCCGAAACCCGGUGAUCUAGCCAUGGGCAGGUUGAAGGUUGGGUAACACUAACUGGAGGACCGAACCGACUAAUGUUGAAAAAUUAGCGGAUGACCUGUGGCUGGGGGUGAAAGGCCAAUCAAACCGGGAGAUAGCUGGUUCUCCCCGAAAGCUAUUUAGGUAGCGCCUCGUGAACUCAUCUUCGGGGGUAGAGCACUGUUUCGGCUAGGGGGUCAUCCCGACUUACCAACCCGAUGCAAACUGCGAAUACCGAAGAAUGUUAUCACGGGAGACACACGGCGGGUGCUAACGUCCGUCGUGAAGAGGGAAACAACCCAGACCGCCAGCUAAGGUCCCAAAGUCACAGUUAAGUGGGAAACGAUGUGGGAAGGCUCAGACAGCCAGGAUGUUGGCUUAGAAGCAGCCAUCAUUUAAAGAAAGCGUAAUAGCUCACUGGUCGAGUCGGCCUGCGCGGAAGAUGUAACGGGGCUAAACUGUGCACCGAAGCUGCGGCAGCGACGCUUAUGCGUUGUUGGGUAGGGGAGCGUUCUGUAAGCCUGCGAAGGUGUCCUGUGAGGGAUGCUGGAGGUAUCAGAAGUGCGAAUGCUGACAUAAGUAACGAUAAUGCGGGUGAAAAGCCCGCUCGCCGGAAGACCAAGGGUUCCUGUCCAACGUUAAUCGGGGCAGGGUGAGUCGACCCCUAAGGCGAGGCCGAAAGGCGUAGUCGAUGGGAAACGGGUUAAUAUUCCCGUACUUGGUGUUACUGCGAAGGGGGGACGGAGAAGGCUAUGUUGGCCGGGCGACGGUUGUCCCGGUUUAAGCGUGUAGGCUGGUUUUCCAGGCAAAUCCGGAAAAUCAAG